Molecule: ribosomal RNA, 253 nt
Filed under: uncultured bacterium
Lineage: Bacteria
Description: partial 16S ribosomal RNA
Rfam family: Bacterial small subunit ribosomal RNA
Source: RNAcentral
UACGUAGGGGGCAAGCGUUGUCCGGAUUUAUUGGGCGUAAAGAGCGUGUAGGCGGCCUGAAAGGUCAGCUGUGAAAACUCGAGGCUCAACCUCGAGACGUCGGUUGAAACCAUCUGGCUAGAGUCCGGAAGAGGAGUGUGGAAUUCCCGGUGUAGCGGUGAAAUGCGCAGAUAUCGGGAAGAACACCCGUGGCGAAGGCGGCUCUCUGGAACGCAACUGACGCUGAGACGCGAAAGCGUGGGGAGCAAACAGG